Molecule: ribosomal RNA, 411 nt
Filed under: uncultured bacterium
Lineage: Bacteria
Description: bacterial SSU rRNA
Rfam family: Bacterial small subunit ribosomal RNA
Source: RNAcentral
ACUCCUACGGGAGGCAGCAGUGGGGAAUAUUGCACAAUGGGGGAAACCCUGAUGCAGCCAUGCCGCGUGUGUGAAGAAGGCCUUCGGGUUGUAAAGCACUUUCAGUAGGGAGGAAGGUAGUGUAGUUAACACCUGCAUUAUUUGACGUUACCUACAGAAGAAGCACCGGCUAACUCCGUGCCAGCAGCCGCGGUAAUACGGAGGGUGCGAGCGUUAAUCGGAAUUACUGGGCGUAAAGCGCAUGCAGGCGGCCUGUUAAGUCAGAUGUGAAAGCCCGGGGCUUAACCUCGGAAUUGCAUUUGAAACUGGCAGGCUAGAGUCUUGUAGAGGGGGGUAGAAUUUCAGGUGUAGCGGUGAAAUGCGUAGAGAUCUGAAGGAAUACCAGUGGCGAAAGGCGGCCCCCUGGACAAA